RNAcentral lists this ribosomal RNA (342 nucleotides) under uncultured cyanobacterium. Its description in RNAcentral is "bacterial SSU rRNA". It matches the Rfam family "Bacterial small subunit ribosomal RNA", at positions 355 to 711 of the family's 1533-position model. Lineage: Bacteria; Bacillati; Cyanobacteriota. The record is from RNAcentral.
UUGGGAAUUUUUCGCAAUGGGCGAAAGCCUGACGGAGCAAUACCGCGUGAGGGAAGACGGCUUUUGGGUUGUAAACCUCUUUUCUCUGGGAAGAAGCAAUGACGGUACCAGAGGAAUCAGCAUCGGCUAACUCCGUGCCAGCAGCCGCGGUAAGACGGAGGAUGCAAGCGUUAUCCGGAAUUAUUGGGCGUAAAGAGUACGUAGGUGGUUAUACAAGUCUAGGGUUAAAGCCUGCGGCCUAACCGUGGAUCGGCGUUAGAAACUGUAUGACUAGAGUGUGAUAGGGGUGGCGGGCAUUCCCGGUGUAGCGGUUAAAUGCGUUGAAUAUCGGGAAGGUCACCG